Molecule: ribosomal RNA, 253 nt
Filed under: uncultured bacterium
Lineage: Bacteria
Description: partial 16S ribosomal RNA
Rfam family: Bacterial small subunit ribosomal RNA
Source: RNAcentral
UACGUAGGGACCGAGCGUUGUCCGGAAUCAUUGGGCGUAAAGAGCGUGUAGGCGGCUUGUUAAGUCUUGCGUGAAAUCUCGGGGCUCAACCCCGAGCGGUCGUGAGAAACUGGCAGGCUAGAGUGCGGGAGAGGAGAGUGGAAUUCCUGGUGUAGCGGUGAAAUGCGCAGAUAUCAGGAGGAACACCUAUGGCGAAGGCAGCUCGCUGGGACGUUACUGACGCUGAGACGCGAAAGCGUGGGGAGCAAACAGG